GUGUGGUGUCUUUCCGAACUCCCUCGACCAUCCGAGCUUCCAUAAUACCAUCCGGGCUUCUCCAACCAUGAGCUUCUCUAUUCAACCACCGGAUUGCUCCAAAUGCCCUCUGAACUCUGCUAUCGGUCAAUUUUCUACAAUGAUCGACUAUUCGUGAAAUCUCUUUCAGACUUCUUCCAUCCUCGAACGACUCUACUCCGAACUUCUUUCGGACUUCAUCAGUGUCCGACUUUCUCCGACAGCAGGAUUUCUACAGUAACUAGAUUCCAUCCAAG
RNAcentral lists this long non-coding RNA (275 nucleotides) under Elaeis guineensis (African oil palm). RNAcentral's name for it is "long non-coding RNA (EGUI_LNC066108)". Lineage: Eukaryota; Viridiplantae; Streptophyta; Magnoliopsida; Arecales; Arecaceae. The record is from RNAcentral.